This 749-nucleotide ribosomal RNA is filed under the name Salmonella enterica subsp. enterica serovar Stockholm. Its description in RNAcentral is "partial 23S ribosomal RNA". It matches the Rfam family "Bacterial large subunit ribosomal RNA", at positions 1 to 668 of the family's 2925-position model. Lineage: Bacteria; Pseudomonadati; Pseudomonadota; Gammaproteobacteria; Enterobacterales; Enterobacteriaceae. The record is from RNAcentral.
GGGUUGUGAGGUUAAGCGACUAAGCGUACACGGUGGAUGCCCUGGCAGUCAGAGGCGAUGAAGGACGUGCUAAUCUGCGAUAAGCGCCGGUAAGGUGAUAUGAACCGUUAUAACCGGCGAUUUCCGAAUGGGGAAACCCAGUGUGACUCGUCACACUAUCAUUAACUGAAUCCAUAGGUUAAUGAGGCGAACCGGGGGAACUGAAACAUCUAAGUACCCCGAGGAAAAGAAAUCAACCGAGAUUCCCCCAGUAGCGGCGAGCGAACGGGGAGGAGCCCAGAGCCUGAAUCAGCAUGUGUGUUAGUGGAAGCGUCUGGAAAGGCGCGCGAUACAGGGUGACAGCCCCGUACACAAAAGCGCAUAUGCUGUGAGCUCGAUGAGUAGGGCGGGACACGUGGUAUCCUGUCUGAAUAUGGGGGGACCAUCCUCCAAGGCUAAAUACUCCUGACUGACCGAUAGUGAACCAGUACCGUGAGGGAAAGGCGAAAAGAACCCCGGCGAGGGGAGUGAAAAAGAACCUGAAACCGUGUACGUACAAGCAGUGGGAGCCCCACCACCAAAGCGUUUCGCUUUGUGUGGUGCACAAAGAAGCGUAACGACAGCACUGAAUGACGGUUAACGGAGCGCAAGCGACGUUCAACAUACAAAGUCAAGCAGUGGAGCGCUUUGGGGUGGGGUGACUGCGUACCUUUUGUAUAAUGGGUCAGCGACUUAUAUUCUGUAGCAAGGUUAACCGAAUAGGGGAGCCG